UGAGCAACCUGCCCUUAGCUCUGGGAUAACCCCGGGAAACCGGGGCUAAUACCGGAUACGAGACCGUGCGGCAUCACGCGGUCUGGAAAGUUUUUCGGCAAGGGAUGGGGUCGCGGCCUAUCAGCUUGUUGGUGGGGUGAUGGCCUACCAAGGCGACGACGGGUAGCCGGCCUGAGAGGGCGACCGGCCACACUGGGACUGAGACACGGUCCAGACUCCUACGGGAGGCA
This 230-nucleotide ribosomal RNA is filed under the name uncultured bacterium. RNAcentral describes it as "partial 16S ribosomal RNA". It matches the Rfam family "Bacterial small subunit ribosomal RNA", at positions 118 to 350 of the family's 1533-position model. The record is from RNAcentral.